GAAGAGACCUUGGCACGGGCUACCUUCCAUGGAGGUACUUCAGUAAAUGUCUGUUGUGACAUUGCAGUCCUGCCAGGCUUCUAGCAUAUAAGGAUACAUACAGUACAUCUGAGUUGAGGGCCGGAGAGACCUUUGCCAUCAUCUGAUGUGAUGCCUUCAGGACACCAAGCCAAGGAGCUUUCCUGCCUGGAAACCAUCUGGCAGCCAUACAGGCCAGCUCUUGGACAGAGCGUGGCUU
Molecule: non-coding RNA, 238 nt
Organism: Lonchura striata (white-rumped munia)
Lineage: Eukaryota; Metazoa; Chordata; Aves; Passeriformes; Estrildidae
Source: RefSeq, a predicted model, not a curated record